Molecule: long non-coding RNA, 1235 nt
Organism: Papaver somniferum (opium poppy)
Lineage: Eukaryota; Viridiplantae; Streptophyta; Magnoliopsida; Ranunculales; Papaveraceae
Exons: 3
Source: RefSeq, a predicted model, not a curated record
CGCUGCACUUCUACAUAUUAUUCUGCGGGAGAAGCUUAUCUUUUCGGUAUUCUUUGAUGUGUUUAGUGUGUGGUGGGUUCUGCAACAAUUGUUUUUCAUGCUCGUCUAGAAUAGCAUAUUGAAUCUGUAACAGAAAUACGAGAUCUUGAGACAGUCCCCGGUAUUUGUUUGAUUAGUUAAAUCUUUCACCUGUCUGAAGCUGUAGUUGUUUCUAGACAGCUCAGUGAUUCAUAUGUUUUCUGCAUCUUUUCUUUUCUAUACUUCUUUGGUGGUAGGUUUUCUUAUAUUUAUAUUCCAAUUUUGUACCACAAUACGGCCAGACACAUAUAAUGAUUUACAUAGGGAUUUAUUCUCUUAUAUGUUCCUUGUUGGCAUGUAUCUGAUUGACAUCUAUUUUUAAUUCCUGUGUCUGUUGCAGUAAGCACUUACUACUAAUUUUGUUUAGUCAUGAGUGUCUUGGUAUUGCUCUGAAGUUAACAAUUUGAGGAACAAAUCCGUUAGUGUACUCUCAGUCUUGGGUUUUCACCAUGGUUAUACUUAACCUGUGAGAUCACUCAGUUGAAUUAUUUGCAUAAGGAAAAGGUUGCAGCAUUAGCAGCUUGACAAUCCCCUUCCAUACUGAGUGUGAGUUCCGACAUUUGGCCAGUAAACAUGGAAUAAUGCUCAUGAGCAGGAAGUGCAAGUGUAUCAAUGGAGUCUUUUCAAACAUGAAUGAGCUGUUGCAGUGGAACAAACUUAAUGGUUAAGGUGGUUGCAGAAGGACAUCUCCGCUUAGCUUACACUGCAGGAAGCGUGCCAAGAGCUUCAUUUGUCGAUUUGGAAGUCUCUCAUUGCUGCACUUAAGCAUUUAUGAGGACUCAUGCAGCAGCUUGUGAGUUGUUUCCCGAGUUGAACUAGGUUUGAAUGCUUUGCCUCCCUUCCUGUAGACUCUGCAAAACGCAUAAAUACCGAAGGACCAGAUGGAAUAUGAAUGGUCAGAGAUUUGUGAGUACAAACCCAGAUCUUGAUUUUCAGCUGCUACCAAUCCCUCAAUAACAGCCUAUGUCCGUGUGUCCUUGAUGUCUUAGUAGGUUGGUCAGUUUUUCUUUUUAAUGUGCAAUGAUUAUGGAUGUUAUUAGCACACAAAUAUGUUCCAAGUUUUUUGUUGUCUUAUUGGUUAACCAGAAGAGGUGGAUGGAUUUUGUAGUUGACUUUGUUGAUUUUCAGAAUAAAAUCCUUACUGUUUUUGCAUUGUA